RNAcentral lists this ribosomal RNA (423 nucleotides) under Triticum aestivum (bread wheat). RNAcentral describes it as "partial small subunit ribosomal RNA". Lineage: Eukaryota; Viridiplantae; Streptophyta; Magnoliopsida; Poales; Poaceae. The record is from RNAcentral.
AUGGAGCUGGCGUUGAUGCACGCCGUCCUCAUCAAGGUGGGCGAGGUGCCGCCCAACCAGCUUCACGCGAAGGUCAAGGUGUGGGCGGGCAAGGUGCGCGACCUGUGCUAUGGCAUGGAGGACGCCGUUGAUGCCUUCAUGGUGCGCGUAGAGGACGGCCAUGACCUCGAGCAGCCGACCAACAUGAAGAACAGAGUCAAGAAGUUCGUCAAGAAGGUCUCCAAGCUGUUCCGUAGUGGCAAGGCUCUUCAUCAGAUCUCCAACGCCAUCCAAGAAGCUCAAGAUCUCGCCAAGGAGUUGACCGAUCUCCGUGAAAGGUACAAGCUCGAUAUCCAUAGCUCAAGCUCGAUAUUCCCUCCGUCCGAAAAUACUUGUCAUCAAAAUGGACAAAAAGGGAUGUAUCUAGAACUAAAAUACAUCUAG